Molecule: ribosomal RNA, 586 nt
Filed under: uncultured Pseudomonadota bacterium
Lineage: Bacteria; Pseudomonadati; Pseudomonadota
Description: bacterial SSU rRNA
Rfam family: Bacterial small subunit ribosomal RNA
Source: RNAcentral
ACGGGUGAGUAACACGUAGGUAAUCUACCAAAGUGUCUGGAAUAACCGGCCGAAAGGCUGGCUAAUACUGGAUAGAGCGACGGGACCCGUAAACGGGUCUUUCGGGAAAGGGAGCUCGCAAGAGCCUUCGCACUUUGAUGAGCCUGCGUCUCAUUAGCUAGUUGGUGAGGUAAUGGCUCACCAAGGCAUUGAUGAGUAGCUGGUCUGAGAGGAUGAUCAGCCACACUGGAACUGAAACACGGUCCAGACUCCUACGGGAGGCAGCAGUGGGGAAUCUUGCGCAAUGGACGUAAGUCUGACGCAGCCACGCCGCGUGAGUGAAGAAGGCCUUCGGGUUGUAAAGCUCUGUCGCCCGGGACGAACAUCCAGGGGGUUAAUAGCCCCUUGGACUGACGGUACCGGGAAAGGAAGCACCGGCUAACUCUGUGCCAGCAGCCGCGGUAAUACAGAGGGUGCAAGCGUUGCUCGGAAUCAUUGGGCGUAAAGGGUAGGUAGGUGGUCUCGUUUGUCUGGGGUGAAAGCCCAGGGCUUAACCCUGGAAGUGCCCCAGAAACGGCGAGACUAGAGUCUUGGAGAGGGUCGCGGA